Molecule: ribosomal RNA, 253 nt
Filed under: uncultured bacterium
Lineage: Bacteria
Description: partial 16S ribosomal RNA
Rfam family: Bacterial small subunit ribosomal RNA
Source: RNAcentral
UACGGGGGGGGCAAGCGUUGUUCGGAAUUACUGGGCGUAAAGGGCUCGUAGGCGGCCAACUAAGUCGGAUGUGAAAUCCCCAGGCUCAACCUGGGAACUGCAUCCGAUACUGGAUGGCUUGAAUCCGGGAGAGGGAUGCAGAAUUCCAGGUGUAGCGGUGAAAUGCGUAGAUAUCUGGAGGAAUACCGGUGGCGAAGGCGGCAUCCUGGACCGACAUUGACGCUGAGGAGCGAAAGCUAGGGGAGCAAACGGG